This 854-nucleotide ribosomal RNA is filed under the name uncultured bacterium. Its description in RNAcentral is "bacterial SSU rRNA". It matches the Rfam family "Bacterial small subunit ribosomal RNA", at positions 69 to 922 of the family's 1533-position model. The record is from RNAcentral.
CAGGAAGAAGCUUGCUUCUUUGCUGACGAGUGGCGGACGGGUGAGUAAUGUCUGGGAAACUGCCUGAUGGAGGGGGAUAACUACUGGAAACGGUAGCUAAUACCGCAUAACGUCGCAAGACCAAAGAGGGGGACCUUCGGGCCUCUUGCCAUCGGAUGUGCCCAGAUGGGAUUAGCCAGUAGGUGGGGUAACGGCUCACCUAGGCGACGAUCCCUAGCUGGUCUGAGAGGAUGACCAGCCACACUGGAACUGAGACACGGUCCAGACUCCUACGGGAGGCAGCAGUGGGGAAUAUUGCACAAUGGGCGCAAGCCUGAUGCAGCCAUGCCGCGUGUAUGAAGAAGGCCUUCGGGUUGUAAAGUACUUUCAGCGGGGAGGAAGGGAGUAAAGUUAAUACCUUUGCUCAUUGACGUUACCCGCAGAAGAAGCACCGGCUAACUCCGUGCCAGCAGCCGCGGUAAUACGGAGGGUGCAAGCGUUAAUCGGAAUUACUGGGCGUAAAGCGCACGCAGGCGGUUUGUUAAGUCAGAUGUGAAAUCCCCGGGCUCAACCUGGGAACUGCAUCUGAUACUGGCAAGCUUGAGUCUCGUAGAGGGGGGUAGAAUUCCAGGUGUAGCGGUGAAAUGCGUAGAGAUCUGGAGGAAUACCGGUGGCGAAGCGGCCCCUGGACGAAGACUGACGCUCAGUGCGAAAGCGUGGGGAGCAAACAAGAUUAGAUACCCUGGUAGUCCACGCCGUAAACGAUGUCGACUUGGAAGGUGUGCCCUUGAGGCGUGGCUACCCGAGCUACGCGUUAAGUCGACGCCUGGGGAGUACCGCGCAAGGUUAAAACUCCAAUGAAUUGACGGGGGGCC